RNAcentral lists this ribosomal RNA (514 nucleotides) under uncultured bacterium. RNAcentral describes it as "partial 16S ribosomal RNA". It matches the Rfam family "Bacterial small subunit ribosomal RNA", at positions 28 to 523 of the family's 1533-position model. The record is from RNAcentral.
GACGAACGCUGGCGGCGUGCCUAAUACAUGCAAGUCGAGCGGAUGACGGAGGAGCUUGCUCCUCUAGAUUCAGCGGCGGACGGGUGAGUAACACGUGAGCAACCUGCCCUGUAGAUUGGGAUAACUCCGGGAAACCGGGGCUAAUACCGAAUAAUCCUUUGGACCUCAUGGUCCGAUGUUGAAAGACGGUUUCGGCUGUCACUACAGGAUGGGCCCGCGGCGCAUUAGCUAGUUGGUGAGGUAACGGCUCACCAAGGCCACGAUGCGUAGCCGACCUGAGAGGGUGAUCGGCCACACUGGGACUGAGGCACGGCCCAGACUCCUACGGGAGGCAGCAGUAGGGAAUCUUCCACAAUGGACGAAAGUCUGAUGGAGCAACGCCGCGUGAGUGAAGAAGGUUCUCGGAUCGUAAAACUCUGUUGUGAGGGAAGAACAAGUACCGGAGUAACUGCCGGUGCCUUGACGGUACCUCAUUAGAAAGCCACGGCUAACUACGUGCCAGCCGCCGCGGUAA